RNAcentral lists this ribosomal RNA (497 nucleotides) under uncultured bacterium. RNAcentral describes it as "partial 16S ribosomal RNA". It matches the Rfam family "Bacterial small subunit ribosomal RNA", at positions 28 to 507 of the family's 1533-position model. The record is from RNAcentral.
GAUGAACGCUGGCGGCGUGCCUAAUACAUGCAAGUCGAGCGAACGGACGAGAAGCUUGCUUUUCUGAUGUUAGCGGCGGACGGGUGAGUAACACGUGGAUAACCUACCUAUAAGACUGGGAUAACUUCGGGAAACCGGAGCUAAUACCGGAUAAUAUUUUGAACCGCAUGGUUCAAAAGUGAAAGACGGUCUUGCUGUCACUUAUAGAUGGAUCCGCGCUGCAUUAGCUAGUUGGUAAGGUAACGGCUUACCAAGGCAACGAUGCAUAGCCGACCUGAGGGGGUGAUCGGCCACACUGGAACUGGGACACGGUCCAGACUCCUACGGGAGGCAGCAGUAGGGAAUCUUCCGCAAUGGGCGAAAGCCUGACGGAGCAACGCCGCGUGAGUGAUGAAGGUCUUCGGAUCGUAAAACUCUGUUAUUAGGGAAGAACAUAUGUGUAAGUAACUGUGCACAUCUUGACGGUACCUAAUCAGAAAGCCACGGCUAACUACGUG